GACGAACGCUGGCGGCGUGCUUAACACAUGCAAGUCGAACGAAAAGGCCCUGCUUUUGUGGGGUGCUCGAGUGGCGAACGGGUGAGUAACACGUGAGUAACCUGCCCUUGACUUUGGGAUAACUUCAGGAAACUGGGGCUAAUACCGGAUAGGAGCUCCUGCUGCAUGGUGGGGGUUGGAAAGUUUCGGCGGUUGGGGAUGGACUCGCGGCUUAUCAGCUUGUUGGUGGGGUAGUGGCUUACCAAGGCUUUGACGGGUAGCCGGCCUGAGAGGGUGACCGGCCACAUUGGGACUGAGAUACGGCCCAGACUCCUACGGGAGGCAGCAGUGGGGAAUAUUGCAUAAUGGGCGGAAGCCUGAUGCAGCAACGCCGCGUGCGGGAUGACGGCCUUCGGGUUGUAAACCGCUUUCGCCUGUGACGAAGCGUGAGUGACGGUAAUGGGUAAAGAAGCACCGGCUAACUACAUG
RNAcentral lists this ribosomal RNA (468 nucleotides) under uncultured bacterium. RNAcentral's name for it is "partial 16S ribosomal RNA". It matches the Rfam family "Bacterial small subunit ribosomal RNA", at positions 28 to 507 of the family's 1533-position model. The record is from RNAcentral.